GACGAACGCUGGCGGUGUGCUUAACACAUGCAAGUCGAACGGUAAGGCCCUUUCGGGGGUACACGAGUGGCGAACGGGUGAGUAACACGUGAGUAACCUGCCCUCAUCUCUGGGAUAACAGUCGGAAACGGUUGCUAAUACUGGAUAUGAGCUUGCAAGGCAUCUUGUGGGUUGGAAAGAUUUUUUUUGGUUGGGGAUGGACUCGCGGCCUAUCAGCUUGUUGGUGAGGUAGUGGCUCACCAAGGCUUCGACGGGUAGCCGGCCUGAGAGGGCGACCGGCCACAUUGGGACUGAGAUACGGCCCAAACUCCUACGGGAGGCAGCAGUGGGGAAUAUUGCACAAUGGACGGAAGUCUGAUGCAGCAACGCCGCGUGCGGGAUGACGGCCUUCGGGUUGUAAACCGCUUUCAAUUGUGACGAAGCUUUUUUGUGACGGUAGCAGUGGAAGAAGCACCGGCUAACUACGUG
This 468-nucleotide ribosomal RNA is filed under the name uncultured bacterium. RNAcentral's name for it is "partial 16S ribosomal RNA". It matches the Rfam family "Bacterial small subunit ribosomal RNA", at positions 28 to 507 of the family's 1533-position model. The record is from RNAcentral.